CAUUGGCCUGCCCCGACAUUGGAUUACCUAGACAGAGAACUUGCAUAUAGUACACACUUAAUAAAUAUGAUUUGUUCCAUUGAGAUGGCCCACUGGUAAGGUGACCUUCUUGAAAACAGAAACUUGCCUGACUUGUUCACUGAUGCAUCCCUAGAACAUAGUAGGUACGGAAAAAAUGCUUGGACUGCAGAUUCCUUCCAGCCUUUGUUUACUUUUAAGAAGGUUGGGAAUGUCAGCCCCCACCAUUCAAUGAUAAUGCCAAACGAGAAGAGGAAACUUCUGUAUCAGACACCUCUUUUUAUUUAAGGCACCCCUGAAAGAGCACCUCAUGCACCCCAGAAAGCUGGUGGUUCAUCUUAUUCCAAGUGAACUAUAGAGAUGAAUCCUGCCCCACCUUACUCAAGAGCAAAACAACCCUGGAAAUGUGUUUUCCUGCUCAGUUAACCAGAGAAAGGAGUGGGGUGCAUAACGCUGUGGAAUAUUCCAAGCAGAGUAUUGCUCUCCUAUGCUUUUUCUCAAUGCCAAAUGUGUAUCAAAAUGACACGUAGUAAUUUCCCUUACCCAGAAACUACAGUUUGAAAUAUAUCCUACAAAAGAACAUUCCUCUCCAUUUCUUUUCCCCCUGUCAGCCAUCAGUUCCUUGACAACGAGAAGCCAUAUGCAAGAAGAUCUUACUUGAAGGCGUAAAAGAACAGAAUUCAUUCAGUGAUACAUCACUUUGGUUAUCUUGAAGAUACUUAAAGAGAAGCUAGAACGUGCCAGACAUUUCUCUGCAGACUUCAUGAAGAGUUGGAGAAAGUUUCAAGGUCACAGGGGAAAAUGGAUGUAGGGGCAUUAGCUGGCAUGUCCCUUUAAAGACCAUGUGUCCUUGAGGCUCCUGUCUGGGCUACACACCAGCACUCACGAUGAUAACAGUCCUGGGCUUGGCCAACCCAGCUGCUUUCUUGUGGGAGAGUUAGCACCAAGACCUUGUGGACUGAGGGAACACAGAGGCCCUCCGGGGGGGCUCUGGUCCUUGGAAUGUAGGUCAUACAGGGACAGUCCCUUUUGGCAAGCAUGCAGACUUUGUUCCUCUCCCUACUUAAGCCAGCUUCUCUCAGGGGGUGGCAGCGGAUGCACGUUGCUGUCCAGCCCACCGUCACUGAACCUCCCCUAAUUCCACAGCUCAGGUGAACUGGUGUUGUGGCGAGGAUGGGCAUGGAGCACAGUUUACACACCUGAUAUUACCAACCUGAGGAGGUAUGAACGUCAGCACCAUCACACUCUUGCUGGAAACUGGAGGAACUGAAGACACAAGGAGAUACAAUCACUUCAGGAAUAGCUCAACUGAGCACUGGCUGAAAGGAGGUAGGAAAGGUCAUAGAGUAUAUGGCUUCUAGAUGCUUCUGCUUCUGGAUGAAGCCCCCGGCUUCUGGGUGACAGCCAGACAGGAAAGUCACGGUCUUGGACUAUCAAUUCAAAUGAUCAAAGUCAACAGAGGAAACGCCAUGAGCGCCCAAGGUGAUGCUUCAAUUUCUGUGGCCCCUGGACAGUUGUCCUUGAAGGAAAAGGGCAUCUGAUAUUGUAGGGUUGUUUCUUUUGGAGCCCAGGGCUGUGAGAGUCCUUCUCUUAACCACGGUGGGGUAUUUUUAUUUACAGCUGGGAUGAUAAUUAUAUAUACGAUUUUUUUUAAUAUGGAACAUGGAUCCUCUUUUUUACUCUUAAAGGAGAGAAAGUUUUCCUACCAAAUCUGUUAUUACCAAGUGGUAUUUUCUUCU
Long non-coding RNA from Equus caballus (horse), 1757 nucleotides. NCBI's taxonomy places the organism in Eukaryota, Metazoa, Chordata, Mammalia, Perissodactyla, Equidae. The record is from Ensembl.